Molecule: long non-coding RNA, 1185 nt
Filed under: Numida meleagris (helmeted guineafowl)
Lineage: Eukaryota; Metazoa; Chordata; Aves; Galliformes; Numididae
Description: lncRNA (ENSNMEG00000000168.1)
Source: RNAcentral
GUUGAGUGAGCACUGCAGCAGAGCCUCUUGCCAGCCCAAACCAGUGAGAUUGUGGAAGCGGGUGAGGGCUGUUGCAGAGCAUUUUGCUGUGAGGUUUGGCCUGAAUAUGUGAGUGGCUUCAUCAGUGGUGGGAUGAAGGAGGUGAGUGACAGCAAGCCAGGAGUGUGAGCCAUCCAACUUGGUGCCUAGCUGUGGAGGCUCCUGGCCUAGCAGCCCCUCAGCUCUUCCUGCUUAAUGAUUAUAUAAUGGCCUGUGUUGAAAAGGACCUCAAAGAUAAUCUGCUUUCAACUCCUUGACCAGGCUGCCUUGAAUGCCUCCAGAACCUCUCUGGGCAGGCUGUUGCCACCCUCCGAGUGAAAAGCUUCUUCCUAGGUUCCUGGUGGUAUGACUCUGGUGCCUGGUGAGUUGUCUCUGUUUGUCCCCAACCUGCAUGUACUACCCCUGGAAUGGAGUUUAUGAUUGGGGCUGGGUGCCAGGGGACAAAAGCCCCUUCUGCUUGGGGGUGACAGUGUGUGGCAUUCCUGGCUCCUCCCUUGUGGUGAGGCUUGAUGGUGCUUUUCUUUCAGCCCUGAAGGUGUGUGGCAGGUCCUCUCCUGGAGGAACGGAAUUGAUGGAGUGUGAGAGUGGCUCCUGUAGUGGUGUUCCUGGUCCCACGCUGGAAGGGGGGAAGAUGAGGUGAGGAGGAACUGAGUUGUGUGCUCUAUGGGAGGAGAAAGUUCAUUUCUAACUUCAGGUUUCCUUGCAAAGAUGGUUUCAAUCAAAGGCAGAAAUGCUCUGCAUUACAGGUAGGAGCUAGUAUGCCUAAGAAUAUCUGUACUAAAAUGGAACGCCCAGACUUAGCUAGCUGAAGUUCUUGUGGUGAAGUGGACACCUGUCGCAACGUGCACGCCGAAGUCACCCGCUGUACCAAUAUGGUUAUUGCAUAGUGCUUAUUUAUUGUAAUUCGACUACAACAUUUAUAGAGCAUCAGGUAGGUGUCGCGCGCUACAACACUGUUAAUUGGACAGUGGAUAUCAUCACAUAGGCAUUCUUGCAGUUAGAUAAUGGUUAGCAGUCCCAUAGAGCACAACCUGGAGGUGUAGAUGUUUGACCUUGCAACACAGCAGCUGUUCCUCGUCUCAGGCCUCCAAGGACACUCCAGGGAUUACUCGAGCGUGUUCUAAUAAAUAUGCCCACUGUCCAUCA